GUGCUCGCUUCAGCGGCACAUAUACUAAAAUUGAACGAUUACAGAGAUUAGCGUGGCCCCUGCGCAAGGAUGACACACAAAUCCGUGAAGCGUUCAAAAAAAAA
Alexandromys fortis (reed vole) is the source of this 104-nucleotide small nuclear RNA. The record is from RefSeq and is a predicted model, not a curated record. Lineage: Eukaryota; Metazoa; Chordata; Mammalia; Rodentia; Cricetidae.